AUCGCCGAUGCGAAGCUGCCGGACAUGCAGGCCGGCUGGGAGCAGGCGAUCUCCAACGUCAUGGCCGGGCUUUCGGGGCUGAACAUGGUCUAUGAGGCCG
Molecule: regulatory RNA element, 100 nt
Organism: Ensifer sp.
Lineage: Bacteria; Pseudomonadati; Pseudomonadota; Alphaproteobacteria; Hyphomicrobiales; Rhizobiaceae
Rfam family: Pyrrolysine insertion sequence mttB
Source: Rfam